RNAcentral lists this long non-coding RNA (212 nucleotides) under Elaeis guineensis (African oil palm). RNAcentral's name for it is "long non-coding RNA (EGUI_LNC027009)". Lineage: Eukaryota; Viridiplantae; Streptophyta; Magnoliopsida; Arecales; Arecaceae. The record is from RNAcentral.
CUCUAUGGCUAAGAUAAAGGUACAGAAUAUUUUUGCUGAAUCUAUUCGAUGCUCGUCACAGCAUGAUGCACCUCCAGCGAUCCAUGGAGAGCUAAGUGCUCUACGACCACCGGUGAUGGUAGAUCCUGGGUUUGCUGUCCUCAUGCAGCAGAUGAAAAAUCUGAUGGAGGUUGUUCAAGAUCUCCAACAACAACAACAACAACGGCUGAAAG